UAUUCGAGAGUUUGAUCCUGGCUCAGGACGAACGCUGGCGGCGUGCUUAACACAUGCAAGUUGAACG
This 67-nucleotide ribosomal RNA is filed under the name Synergistaceae bacterium. Its description in RNAcentral is "partial 16S ribosomal RNA". It matches the Rfam family "Bacterial small subunit ribosomal RNA", at positions 1 to 68 of the family's 1533-position model. Lineage: Bacteria; Thermotogati; Synergistota; Synergistia; Synergistales; Synergistaceae. The record is from RNAcentral.